GUUUAAAUAGCUUAUAAUUUUAGAGCAUAACACUGAAGAUGUUAGGGAAGAGAGCGUCUCUUGUAAACA
RNAcentral lists this transfer RNA (69 nucleotides) under Cocculina subcompressa. RNAcentral describes it as "tRNA-Phe". The record is from RNAcentral. Lineage: Eukaryota; Metazoa; Mollusca; Gastropoda; Cocculinidae.